UACGAAGGGGGCUAGCGUUGUUCGGAAUUACUGGGCGUAAAGCGCGUGUAGGCGGCACGUUAAGUCGACUGUGAAAGCCCACGGCUCAACCGUGGAAGGGCAGCCGAAACUGGCGAGCUUGAGUCCCGAAGAGGGUGGCGGAAUUCCCAGUGUAGAGGUGAAAUUCGUAGAUAUCGAGAGGAACACCGGUGGCGAAGGCGGCUUCCUGGCCCGUACCUGACGCUGAGGCGCGAAAGCGUGGGGAGCAGACAGG
RNAcentral lists this ribosomal RNA (253 nucleotides) under uncultured bacterium. RNAcentral describes it as "partial 16S ribosomal RNA". It matches the Rfam family "Bacterial small subunit ribosomal RNA", at positions 524 to 776 of the family's 1533-position model. The record is from RNAcentral.